GCAGUGGAACAACACAAAUACACAAAGAGAAGUCAAUGUGCCUACGCCAUCAAUAAGUACACAAAGUUAAAAUAAAAGUAACGUUAUUCGCUAUUGCUAUGGCAACAGUCAGAAUGUCUACAUCGAACAAUUGGGAGUUGAAAUAUUUUAAAAAGAUUGAGAAUUUUCAAGCAAAAUGUAUACUCUGUGCAUAUACUUUUACGUACUGUGAUAUGGAACCUGCAAAUUAUCAUUUCGACCAACAACAUCCAAAUGUAGAAAGAGUGAAAGUAUCUUGGUUGCAGCAGCAUUUCAACAAUUUUAGCAAUUCACGCUGGCAAUGCAAUUCUUGUCCUACAACUUAUUCGAAAGAAACUUCGAAGAAUAAAUUACGUAAACAUCUACGAAAUAUACAUAACAUAUUUCUAGCAAAAAAAGGCCUAUUUUAUAUGGGUAUUAUACAGGAGCAUAUUAAACAGCAUGAUGAUUAUAGUGCGCAGUGUAAGAAAUGUAGUCAAAUAAUAGAGUUUAGCCUUUCUUGUGUCCUAAAAAACCACAUAUUCACAAAUCAUUACAAAGUAUGGGAAGAAGAAAAUGCAAACAAAAGAAGAGAAAUCAGUAUGCCUUGGCCAUCGACAAGUACAAGAUAACUUUAAAGGCAAAAACAAUGAAUAUAUUUUGAUGACGUUUCUAUAUUCAAAAAUGAUGCUAUGGUUCGACGGUCCUACAUACGACGAGCAGAAACAACAAUCUUGACUAUAACGAUUUAUAUGAUUUAAAAUAUCUGAAAAAAACUGCCAACAUAUCUAUGA
Non-coding RNA from Linepithema humile (Argentine ant), 791 nucleotides. Lineage: Eukaryota; Metazoa; Arthropoda; Insecta; Hymenoptera; Formicidae. The record is from RefSeq and is a predicted model, not a curated record.